RNAcentral lists this ribosomal RNA (566 nucleotides) under Bacillus cereus. RNAcentral's name for it is "bacterial SSU rRNA". It matches the Rfam family "Bacterial small subunit ribosomal RNA", at positions 255 to 811 of the family's 1533-position model. The record is from RNAcentral. Lineage: Bacteria; Bacillati; Bacillota; Bacilli; Caryophanales; Bacillaceae.
AGGUAACGGCUCACCAAGGCAACGAUGCGUAGCCGACCUGAGAGGGUGAUCGGCCACACUGGGACUGAGACACGGCCCAGACUCCUACGGGAGGCAGCAGUAGGGAAUCUUCCGCAAUGGACGAAAGUCUGACGGAGCAACGCCGCGUGAGUGAUGAAGGCUUUCGGGUCGUAAAACUCUGUUGUUAGGGAAGAACAAGUGCUAGUUGAAUAAGCUGGCACCUUGACGGUACCUAACCAGAAAGCCACGGCUAACUACGUGCCAGCAGCCGCGGUAAUACGUAGGUGGCAAGCGUUAUCCGGAAUUAUUGGGCGUAAAGCGCGCGCAGGUGGUUUCUUAAGUCUGAUGUGAAAGCCCACGGCUCAACCGUGGAGGGUCAUUGGAAACUGGGAGACUUGAGUGCAGAAGAGGAAAGUGGAAUUCCAUGUGUAGCGGUGAAAUGCGUAGAGAUAUGGAGGAACACCAGUGGCGAAGGCGACUUUCUGGUCUGUAACUGACACUGAGGCGCGAAAGCGUGGGGAGCAAACGAGGAUUAGAUACCCUGGUAGUCCACGCCGUAAACGAUG